This 254-nucleotide ribosomal RNA is filed under the name uncultured bacterium. RNAcentral describes it as "partial 16S ribosomal RNA". It matches the Rfam family "Bacterial small subunit ribosomal RNA", at positions 524 to 776 of the family's 1533-position model. The record is from RNAcentral.
UACGUAGGCAGCGAGCGUUGUUCGGAGUUACUGGGCGUAAAGGGUGUGUAGGCGGUUGUUUAAGUUUGGUGUGAAAUCUCCCGGCUCAACUGGGAGGGUGCGCCGAAUACUGAAUGACUUGGAGUGGGGGAGAGGAAAGUGGAAUUCCUGGUGUAGCGGUGAAAUGCGUAGAUAUCAGGAGGAACACCGGUGGUGUAGACGGCUUUCUGGACCGUAACUGACGCUGAGACACGAAAGCGUGGGUAGCAAACAGG